This 578-nucleotide ribosomal RNA is filed under the name uncultured Actinomycetes bacterium. Its description in RNAcentral is "bacterial SSU rRNA". It matches the Rfam family "Bacterial small subunit ribosomal RNA", at positions 104 to 698 of the family's 1533-position model. The record is from RNAcentral. Lineage: Bacteria; Bacillati; Actinomycetota; Actinomycetes.
GGGUGAGUAACACGUGAGAAACCUGCCCUAGAGACCGGGACAACCGUUGGAAACGACGGCUAAUACCGGAUGCCUUCACAUGACCGCAUGGUCGAGUGAAGAAAUGCUCAGGCGCUCUAGGAGGGUCUCGCGGCCUAUCAGCUAGUUGGUGAGGUAACGGCUCACCAAGGCAUCGACGGGUAGCUGGUCUGAGAGGACGAUCAGCCACACUGGGACUGAGACACGGCCCAGACUCCUACGGGAGGCAGCAGUGGGGAAUAUUGCGCAAUGGGCGAAAGCCUGACGCAGCAACGCCGCGUGUGGGAUGACAGCUUUCGGGUUGUAAACCACUUUCAGUGACGACGAAAAUGACGGUAGUCACAGGAGAAGGUCCGGCCAACUACGUGCCAGCAGCCGCGGUAACACGUAGGGACCAAGCGUUGUCCGGAUUUAUUGGGCGUAAAGAGCUCGUAGGCGGUUUCGUAAGUCGGAUGUGAAAACUCAGGGCUCAACCCUGAGACGCCAUCUGAUACUGCGAUGACUAGAGUCCGGUAGGGGAGCAUGGAAUUCCUGGUGUAGCGGUGGAAUGCGCAGAUAUC